GAACGCACAGAACGGGAAGAUCCUCGAAACAAGCUGUGCACAGGGCUCGUGAAGAACGGCUCUCUUCGACCCG
RNAcentral lists this small RNA (73 nucleotides) under Sinorhizobium meliloti 2011. RNAcentral describes it as "putative ncRNA". Lineage: Bacteria; Pseudomonadati; Pseudomonadota; Alphaproteobacteria; Hyphomicrobiales; Rhizobiaceae. The record is from RNAcentral.